UCGCCCUUCAGCAGCAUGUAUCACAGAGCUGGCAUGAUACAGAGAAGAUUAGCAUGGCUCUUGAGCAAGGAUGGCAUACAAGUUUGUGCAACAUUCCAUUAAAUA
Molecule: non-coding RNA, 105 nt
Organism: Dipodomys ordii (Ord's kangaroo rat)
Lineage: Eukaryota; Metazoa; Chordata; Mammalia; Rodentia; Heteromyidae
Source: Rfam